UACGAAGGGGGCUAGCGUUGCUCGGAAUCACUGGGCGUAAAGCGCACGUAGGCGGAUCUUUAAGUCAGGGGUGAAAUCCCGGAGCUCAACUCCGGAACUGCCUUUGAUACUGCGGAUCUUGAGUUCGAGAGAGGUGAGUGGAACUGCGAGUGUAGAGGUGAAAUUCGUAGAUAUUCGCAAGAACACCAGUGGCGAAGGCGGCUUACUGGUCCGGUUCUGACGCUGAGGCGCGAAAGCGUGGGGAGCAAACAGG
RNAcentral lists this ribosomal RNA (253 nucleotides) under uncultured bacterium. RNAcentral describes it as "partial 16S ribosomal RNA". It matches the Rfam family "Bacterial small subunit ribosomal RNA", at positions 524 to 776 of the family's 1533-position model. The record is from RNAcentral.